CGUGGGAGUCAAGAAAUAUCUCAAGCCUUCAAAUCUAGAGGAAACCAACUGCCCGACGUUCUUCGUAUCGCAGCAUAAGCGUUUCGUAUGCACGCAUGUACGACUCAACGGAUCCCCCAUUGGUCCGUACGGAACGGAACAGAACGGAACGGAACGGAACGGAACAGAACAGAAGCGAAUGCAGCAGAAGCAAACGCUGACUGGACUCAGCAUGUUUAUUGGCGCAUCUCCGAGUCUUAAAUCUUUAUGUUGUCUCCACGGCGGAGACUGUGCAGCUAUCCUCCCUAUUCGCUGGUGGAGGACGAGGGAGUCGGUUAGAGGAAGAGUGAGAGAUAAAAGGCAUACGAGGCGGUAAGUGCGACAGAGACAAUUGUACUAGGGAGGCGGUGUCGAACUGUGGAUGAGGAAAAGGACGGAACGAGAGACGAAGAAAGGGAAAGAAAGAAGAGAAUAUAUCUCUUGUGUUGCGACCGCGAAAUCGAGUCAAGAGUCGAACGAGCAGCGCAUCUUCUGCGUUACGCACACAGAAGCUGUGCUUUUAACGUGCUUCCAGGAGGGAUUGCCGGUUGCGAAGGUAUACCUUCUACAACGUGUUAACGUAUCGAGGAGGAUUAUUGAUGGUCAUUGGUGACAUAACCGGUAACGCCGAGAGCAGUGCCGUACCUGUAUCCUCGAUCUCCUUUGACAUCUCACAUUUCUUUACGUCCAUUAAUUAUCGCCCUUGCAGAAACACCCUUAACGGAUAGCACACGUUUGGUAUAUUCUUCAUAAAAAUUAUAUCAAGUGUUGACGAAUCGUACUUGAGCAAUGUGUUAGAAUGUAAUUUGCGUUAUUAGAAAUUUCAUUGAAGAAUAUGUUCGUUUGUAAUGAUUAAGAGCAGUGCUCUUUUUUGUAAUUAUAGGUAAUUUAUACCAAGUAGUGAAAGCUUUUGUGAUAGUCAGGGCUAGUACUUGAUAUUCGAUAAGAUUGACAAUCGAAACUUGUAAAUAAUUGGGUAUAAUUAAAAAGCUUUAAUUGAUAACCUCAAAGUGGAUCAUGUGACAAUGCGUGAGGUAUCGCCACUUGGGUAUACAUAGAUGCCUAUAUGGAUGUAAAAGGAUAUACAUAGGGAUAGGUUAGAGCGACGCAAGUGACCACGAUAUAAUGUACACGCGUGUAACGUAUACGGCGUCUCUCCCCGGAGUAUGUGAAAAUGUGGGCGUAGAGGUGCGUUCGAGCUCGGCUGCUGGCAUAACAGUGGGUAAAGGAACAGCAACGAUAGAGUGUUAUCAGCAGCGUUGGAGGCGGCAGAAAGUUUAUAGCCGAUACGUGCCGUUUAUCGGACGCUAUGCUGCAUUUAGUUAAUUAAACAGCACAGUCAAUAGCUGCCGUGGUGGUGUGGCCUCCUGGUGGACUAAGCUCUGGUAACGUCCAUUUUCACAGGGAAGACUAAACGUAGGAUAUGUCAUCUACUGAAGGAGUACGCAUUACUGGAUUAGAGUGAUACAGUCGUUAAUACCCCGAAUUCGCAAGAGAUGGCGCCACUCGAUACUCGGCUAUAAUUACAAGCUAAAUCAUCCGAAGACGAUUAAAGGUCACUUAUAAUGAUUAUGUACGAUUCAUUUUUCGAAUUCUUUCUCGUGCCUACCUUCGAGUAUAUAGGUACGUGAUGGAAUUUAUCUAUAGGUAAUAGGAGCGUCUUCGUGAUCUCUUGAUCCCACAGGGUCAAUCUUACAGAAUCUUUUCGACCAAUAAUAUCCAAGCAGUGUCAGGACUUGAGAGUUUUAUGGCUUUUCGACUCGGACCUGGUACGAUUCAUGAGUGGAGGGGCGGCCGUAGCCCAGUGGUUAGGGUAGCGGAUUCAUGACCGAAAGGUUUGGGGUUCGCGCCUGGCUCCCAGCGGCAUUUGUCAAUGAGUUUUCAUAUGAAAACUUAAGUCGUCCGCAUGCUUAGUUGUAUAAGGCCCGUCUCGGAAGGUACAUCGCCAUCUAGUGUCGAACUUCCAAUUUUGAUUAUUAGGACUAGUUACUGGCACAUGUUCCCCAUUGGGGAGAGGGGGGAUACAGUCCCAACGAAAGGAAGGAAGGAAGAAAAGGAUUCACGAGUGGACAACGUCGAGGCUACGAAAGAACUAAAACCUGUUAACACAAUCGGAUUGGCCCGUUUUGGUUUUGACGAUCACCAAGUGAAUUAUCAUCGGCGAUCGCUGACGCAACAAACUUUCCGACCGGCAACAUGAUCUCUGACCUUCCAAAGUCACGAGCUGUUUUACGCGGUUACAGCGCGAAUCACUAACGGGAAUCUGAUCAACUGCAAAACGGGGG
Cephus cinctus (wheat stem sawfly) is the source of this 2303-nucleotide long non-coding RNA. RefSeq lists it as uncharacterized. The transcript is spliced from 3 exons. NCBI's taxonomy places the organism in Eukaryota, Metazoa, Arthropoda, Insecta, Hymenoptera, Cephidae. The record is from RefSeq and is a predicted model, not a curated record.